AAUAUCCAGUCAGUGUAAACUCGUUUAUAAUUUGGUCCUUUGAUUUCAAGGAGCUAUGAUGCAGUUCGUUGUGGGGAUGUGUUGUCUCCAUGUCAUACAUGUGACUUUGUCCAUGUUUGCACCCAGUUCAAGGAAGACACAACCCUAGGGAAAGACAACCCUCCCCGCCAAGCCUCUCUUCCCAUUCUUAAACAUAGGGUGGCGUUAUUCAGGUUGGACCAGUUUAAAAAGACUAACGCAUUUGUCCUCGUUGUUGGGUGUUUUUUUUCUUUAAAUUUGUAAAACAGGAAUAAUUGUGUUAGGAUGAAGUAUGAUACUAGGAGAACAGGGAAAACUAACCCAUCGUGUUAAAAGUCAGAAUAGUGCUUAACUCUGGCAGGAGGUGAGAUGGUUAGUAAUUCAGAAGGGGGUGCCAGGAGAGCUUCCAGAGCCAUUGAAAUGUUCAGUAGCUUGAUCUGGGUGAUGAUUUACAUACAUAAAAACAUAUUAAACUUUGAACUUAAGAUUUAUGCCUUUUACUGUUUGCACCCUAUAACUCCAAAAGAAAAGUAGAGGGGAAAAAGAGUCCCUGCAAAAGGCAGUCUUGAAAGAAAGCAAGUCUGUGAUGUGGAGAAUGCAUUGGACAGCUCUCAGCAAUUUGCUGUAGCUUGGGCAGAGAGAUAAAAGCUAAUGCCAGCAUCAGGUUGCCCAGGCGAGAGAAGGCCUGAAAGAAGACAGCGUGGAGAAAGUGUCAGCAAGCUUCAGCAACAGCAGGAGGCAGAUGGUAGGAGAGUGGGCCUCAGGUGUGGUGUGGCAGAGCAGAGUAGCCACACUUAGGCCCCAGAGACAGUGUCUUCUCACCCUCAGUUGAAGGGGCAGGAAAUCAAUCGCUCUAGUCACCCCUAAGCUGGAGGACGGACCUAAAGUUGCCACAGCUUUGAGAGGCAAAGAAGUUUGCUCAGUGGCUUUUAGAGACUUCUAGGGCCCUGGGACCCUGACACUGAGGAGGAGCAAACUGAAGGGGAGAGUGGGCACAUUCCUUGUUGGCUGCUGUGGUGAGCAGCAGCUGGUCGUUGUCAGUCAAGCUCCGGACCACUCUGAUGAUGCUCACUGCAUUUUGAUGGAGUAAGCCAGGGACAUUACCACUGUGUUUGAGCCAUCUGAAGUAUUCCUGGGUGGGUCUGCAGUUGGCAGCCCGUGAUCCUUUUUCCAUUCAAGGAUGAUGCAAAGGUAAGGGGCCAAGGCUGAGCUCUGUAGAUGCCUGUGAGAGCCUCCUGGUCUCAAGAGGUCAUACCAAGGGCCUUGGCCACCAAGGUUUCGUGAGGACCUUGAGGUGGUUUCGCCAUCACAAUGUCAGACGUGUCACACACCAUCUGGUAUGUCCUCACUGUAUAGAGGAAGAAGGGCCCAAGUGGUGAAUUAUCUACAAGUUUGUAGCAAAGCUAAUACUCAGACUCCCUCUACAGCCUUGCUACUCAGUGUAGUCUGUGGUCCGGCAGUGUCACACCACUGGGGUACUUAGCAGAAAUGCAGCUUCUCAGGCUCCACUCCAGCUCUCCUCAAUCACAGUCUGUUUUUUUGUUUGUUUGUUUGUUUGUUUUGAGAUGGAGUUUCGCUCUUGUUGCCUAGGCUGGAGAGCAGUGGUGCGAUCUUGGCUCACUGCAACCUCCACCUCCCUGGUUCAAGUGAUUCUGCUGCCUCAGCCUCCCAAGUAGCUGGGAUUACAGGCGCCCGCCACCAUGCCCGGUGGCGUGCAUGGUAAUUUUUGUAUUUUUAGUAGAAACAGGAUCUCGCCAUGUUGGCCAGGCUGGUCUUGAACUCCUGACCUCAGGUGAUCCACCCGCCUUGGCCUCCCAAAGUACUGGGGAUUACAGAUGUGAGCCACCACGCCUGGCCCACAGUCUGUAUUUUAACAAGAUCCCCACCUCAGUCUUAGGCACAUGGAUUCUCCUCAACCCCCAAUACCACAGAGUCUAUUAAUUUUUACCCAAUAGGGAAGGGGAAAAAGUCAAGAAAGAAUAAUGAAUUAAGUAAUCUUUCCCCCUCCAGGAAGCUCUUUAUUUAAUUUCGCUCCCAUGAAACACAAUUUGAAGAGUCUCUCAAAUAAACAAAUUCCAUUUUCUGAUAAUUAUUUAAUUGCCCCACUUUUGAAAUUUUUGUCAAAGACGACUGUCACUCCCUGUCAGAACUUCUAUUCAGCACAGUAUACCAAGCGUUUCUCCAUCGAGUUGUUAUAAUAUGAUCAAAAAGCAGGGAGAGAUGCUGCUUGGUUACCCUGUGGGGCCUUAUCGGGGCUCAGUGCAGUCUUUCCAUGUAGGCAUUCUCAAAUACUCAAUUGAAACCUGAUUGAGGAUCAUUUGAUCUCUGUUGGCCCUAGUGCAGUAGGCUGCUGAGAACCACUGAUGCAAUAGACUGAGAGACUAACUGCCUGCUUCCCUGUCAGCCCAGGCUCUGCUAAGGCCGUCUUAGUUACAGAAGAAAGUGGGGCAGAGAGCCCUGCAAGGAUUACAUUCCAUUCCUAACGGAGACAGGCAAGCGUUCAGUGCCCGAAGCAGGGCAGGCCUUUGUAUGGCUCACUUUUCCCUGUACCAGCCUCAGCCCCGUACAUUCAGAAAGCCCUGUCGGGAACGUGCGGGAUCACAGCACAAGACAGUCAUUCACUGAUUGAUUGACGACGUCAACAUUGCGGAAUACCUAUGUUAAGCUGAGUACGAGGGAUAUAAAAAGUAGGCCCUGGAGAGUGCCUCUGGGAUGCACAUAACCAGACAAGAUAAAGAAAAGGCAGAUCACGAGAUCAAGAGAUCGAGAUCAUCCUGGCCAACAUGGUGAAACCCCAUCUCUACUAAAAUUACAAAAAUCAGCUAGACGUGGUGGCGGGCGCCUGUAGUCCCAGCUACUCAGGAGGCUGAGGCAGGAGAAUCGCUUGAACCCGGGAGGCAGAGAUUGCACUGAGCUGAGGUCAUGCCACUGCACUCCAGCCUGGCAACAGGGCAAGACUCCAUCUCAAAAAAAAAAAAAAAGAAAAAAAAGAAAAAUUAGGGCAGCUUUUAGACAUGAGGCCCCAAAGUGCCAACUAGUGCACCUAAACUUCAACUCUCUUUUGAGUGUUUUAUGUAUCUACUCAGCAUCCAGUUGUAAAUAUGCAAAAAUCAAUGCCUACUGUAUUUAAAAAUUACUAAAUUCACAAUAACCACACAGAAUCUAUAAUAAAUAGAAUCAAUGUAAUAAUGACUCAGAUCCAGGGGAAGAAAAUUAUAAAAUUUUGGAAAAAAUGAUGAGCUAUUAAUUAAGAAAAUAGUUUGUUCCUUGGUGAGAAGACUCAAUGUAAAUAUGUCAGUUUUCUCCUGACUUAAGUCUUCAACACAGGCCUAAUAAUAUUGCAGUGGCAAAUGAUUGCCAGGGGCAGGAGGGGAUUUGGGGAAGUGGUAAAAAUGAUCUGUGUCUUGGUAGUGGUCGCUGCACAACUGCAUACAUCUGUGAAAACUCACUGAACUGCGCACUUUAAAAGGGUGAAUUGUAAUAUACAUACCUCAAUAAACCUUACUUAAAAAUUA
This 3533-nucleotide long non-coding RNA is filed under the name Homo sapiens (human). RNAcentral describes it as "non-protein coding lnc-SCO1-1:1". The record is from RNAcentral. Lineage: Eukaryota; Metazoa; Chordata; Mammalia; Primates; Hominidae.